Molecule: ribosomal RNA, 467 nt
Filed under: uncultured bacterium
Lineage: Bacteria
Description: bacterial SSU rRNA
Rfam family: Bacterial small subunit ribosomal RNA
Source: RNAcentral
CUGUGACUCCUACGGGGAGCAGCAGUGAGAAGUAUGGUCAAUGGACGCAAGUCUGAACCAGCCAUGUCGCGUGCAGGAAGACUGCCCUAUGGGUUGUAAACUGCUUUAUACGGGGAAGAAAUAUAGCUACGUGUAGUUAUUGCCGGUACCGUAUGAAUAAGCAUCGGCUAACUCCGUGCCAGCAGCCGCGGUAAUACGGAGGAUGCGAGCGUUAUCCGGAUUCAUUGGGUUUAAAGGGUGCGUAGGCGGAAGUAUAAGUCAGGGGUGAAAGUUUGUGGCUCAACCAUAAAAAUUGCCUUUGAUACUGUAUUUCUUGAGUACAUUUGAGGUAGGCGGAAUGUGUUGUGUAGCGGUGAAAUGCUUAGAUAUAACACAGAACACCGAUUGCGAAGGCAGCUUACUAAACUAGUAAACUGACGCUGAUGCACGAAAGCGUGGGGAUCGAACAGGAUUAGAUACCCUGGUAG